This is a non-coding RNA of Perkinsus marinus ATCC 50983, 72 nucleotides long. Lineage: Eukaryota; Perkinsozoa; Perkinsida; Perkinsidae. The record is from Rfam.
GGCCCUAUGGCGCAACGGUAGCGCAUCUGACUCCAGAUUGGAAGGUUGUCCGUUCGAAUCGGGCCGGGGUCA